This 506-nucleotide ribosomal RNA is filed under the name uncultured bacterium. RNAcentral's name for it is "partial 16S ribosomal RNA". It matches the Rfam family "Bacterial small subunit ribosomal RNA", at positions 29 to 523 of the family's 1533-position model. The record is from RNAcentral.
AGUGAACGCUGGCGGUAGGCCUAACACAUGCAAGUCGAACGGCAGCACAGGAGAGCUUGCUCUCUGGGUGGCGAGUGGCGGACGGGUGAGGAAUACAUCGGAAUCUACUCUGUCGUGGGGGAUAACGUAGGGAAACUUACGCUAAUACCGCAUACGACCUACGGGUGAAAGCAGGGGACCUUCGGGCCUUGCGCGAUUGAAUGAGCCGAUGUCGGAUUAGCUAGUUGGCGGGGUAAAGGCCCACCAAGGCGACGAUCCGUAGCUGGUCUGGGAGGAGGAGCAGCCACACUGGAACUGAGACACGGUCCAGCCUCCUACGGGAGGCAGCAGUGGGGAAUAUUAGGCAAUGGGCGCAAGCCUGAUCCAGCCAUACCGCGUGGGUGAAGAAGGCCUUCGGGUUGUAAAGCCCUUUUGUUGGGAAAGAAAUCCAGCUGGCUAAUACCCGGUUGGGAUGACGGUACCCAAAGAAUAAGCACCGGCUAACUUCGUGCCAGCCGCCGCCGUAA